GACGAACGCUGGCGGCGUGCUUAACACAUGCAAGUCGAACGGAGAGGCCCUGCUUGCGGGGUACUCGAGUGGCGAACGGGUGUGUAACACGUGGGUGAUAUGCGCUGCUCUUUGGGAUAUGCCUGGGAGACAGGGUCUAAUACCGGAGAGGGGCCCUUUUUAUUGAUGUGGUUGGUUAGUUUUUUGGGGGUGGGGUGAGCGCGCGGCCUGUCUGCUAGUUGGUUGGGGUAUGGCCUGCCAAGGCAGCGACGGGUAGCCGGCCUGGAUGGGGGGACGGCCCAAUUGGGACCGGGGUGCGGCCCAGACUCCUACGGGGGGCAGCAGGGGGGAAUAUUGCAAAAAGGGCGCGAGCCUGGUGCAGCGACGCCGCGUGGGGGAAGACCGCCCUCGGGUUUUAAACCCCUUUCGCUAGGGACGAAGCUUUGUGUGACGGUACCUAGAAAAGAAGCACCGGCUAACUACGUG
This 465-nucleotide ribosomal RNA is filed under the name uncultured bacterium. RNAcentral's name for it is "partial 16S ribosomal RNA". It matches the Rfam family "Bacterial small subunit ribosomal RNA", at positions 28 to 507 of the family's 1533-position model. The record is from RNAcentral.